RNAcentral lists this ribosomal RNA (1013 nucleotides) under uncultured bacterium. RNAcentral describes it as "bacterial SSU rRNA". It matches the Rfam family "Bacterial small subunit ribosomal RNA", at positions 120 to 1104 of the family's 1533-position model. The record is from RNAcentral.
AAUAACCUGCCUUUGAGAAGGGGAUAACUGUCCGAAAGGAUAGCUAAUACCCUAUAAUGUCCUUUGUCACAAAGGCAAAGGAUGAAAGCGAGGCUGUCAAAGGCUUCGGCUCAAAGAGGGGUUCGCGUCCUAUCAGGUAGUUGGUGGGGUAAUGGCCUACCAAGCCAAUGACGGGUAGCUGGUCUUAGAGGAUGGUCAGCCACAGUGGGACUGAGACACGGCCCGCACCCCUACGGGGGGCAGCAGUGGGGAAUCGUGGGCAAUGGACGAAAGUCUGACCCCGCAAUGCCGCGUGAGGGAAGAAGCCCUUCGGGGUGUAAACCUCUGUCAGAUGGGAAGAUGGGACCAAGAGCUAAUACCUCUUGGUCUUGACGGUACCAUCAGAGGAAGGGACGGCUAACUACGUGCCAGCAGCCGCGGUAAUACGUAGGUCCCGAGCGUUGCGCGAUGUUACUGGGCGUAAAGCGUCCGUAGCUGGUUUCGUAAGCGGAUUGUCAAAACCCGAAGCUCAACUUCGGCAAGGCAUUCCGAACUGCGUUACUUGAGUCCUGUUCAGGUAGGCGGAAAUUCCCCGGUGUAGCGGUGAAAUGCGUAGAUAUCCGGGAGGAACACCAGUGGCGAAGGCGGCCUACUGGGACGGUACUGACGGGUCAUGGACGAAAGCUGGGGGAGCGAACCGGAUUAGAUACCCGGGUAGUCCCAGCCGUAAACGAUGGAUGUUAGGCGUAGUGAUAACUUCGCUGCACCCCAGCUAACGCGUUAAACAUCCCGCCUGGGGAGUACGGGCGCAAGCCUGAGACUCAAAGGAAUUGGCGGGGGCCCGCACAACCGGUGGAGCGUCUGGUUUAAUUCGAUGCUAACCGAAAAACCUUACCAGGGUUUGAAAUGGUAGGAAAGGCUGUCGAAAGACAGCCGUGUUUCCUUUUUGGGAGAAAUCCUACCACAGGUGGUGCAUGGCCGUCGUCAGCUCGCGUUGUGAGAUGUUGGGUUAAGUCCCGUAACGAGCGCAACCC